AUCCUUUUGUAGUUCAUAUGUAUGAUGAUCAGGUGCUCACGCUCUUAUGUGUAUUGUGUCUCACCUCCCUCAAACCUUCAUAUGACAUCAACAUAUUACCCAUCUGAUG
Small nucleolar RNA from Rhinolophus ferrumequinum (greater horseshoe bat), 109 nucleotides. The record is from Ensembl. NCBI's taxonomy places the organism in Eukaryota, Metazoa, Chordata, Mammalia, Chiroptera, Rhinolophidae.